CCAGACUCUACGGGAGGCAGCAGUAGGGAAUCUUCCGCAAUGGGCGAAAGCCUGACGGAGCAACGCCGCGUGAGUGAAGAAGGAUUUCGGUUCGUAAAGCUCUGUUGUUAGGGAAGAAUGAUUGUGUAGUAACUAUACACAGUAGAGACGGUACCUAACCAGAAAGCCACGGCUAACUACGUGCCAGCAGCCGCGGUAAUACGUAGGUGGCAAGCGUUGUCCGGAAUUAUUGGGCGUAAAGCGCGCGCAGGUGGUUUAAUAAGUCUGAUGUGAAAGCCCACGGCUCAACCGUGGAGGGUCAUUGGAAACUGUUAAACUUGAGUGCAGGAGAGAAAAGUGGAAUUCCUAGUGUAGCGGUGAAAUGCGUAGAGAUUAGGAGGAACACCAGUGGCGAAGGCGGCUUUUUGGCCUGUAACUGACACUGAGGCGCGAAAGCGUGGGGAGCAAACAGGAUUAGAUACCCUGGUAGUCCACGCCGUAAACGAUGAGUGCUAAGUGUUGGUCUCAUAAGAGAUCAGUGCUGCAGCUAACGCAUUAAGCACUCCGCCUGGGGAGUACGACCGCAAGGUUGAAACUCAAAGGAAUUGACGGGGGCCCGCACAAG
This 604-nucleotide ribosomal RNA is filed under the name uncultured bacterium. RNAcentral describes it as "bacterial SSU rRNA". It matches the Rfam family "Bacterial small subunit ribosomal RNA", at positions 331 to 929 of the family's 1533-position model. The record is from RNAcentral.